RNAcentral lists this transfer RNA (76 nucleotides) under bacterium. RNAcentral's name for it is "tRNA-Gln". It matches the Rfam family "tRNA". Rfam says of the family: Transfer RNA (tRNA) molecules are approximately 80 nucleotides in length. Their secondary structure includes four short double-helical elements and three loops (D, anti-codon, and T loops). The record is from RNAcentral. RNAcentral also lists the same sequence under 2 other names.
UGGGGAGUGGCCAAAUUGGUAAGGCACCUGAUUCUGGUUCAGGCAACUGAAGGUUCGAAUCCUUCCUCCCCAGCCA